Molecule: long non-coding RNA, 1071 nt
Filed under: Ficedula albicollis (Collared flycatcher)
Lineage: Eukaryota; Metazoa; Chordata; Aves; Passeriformes; Muscicapidae
Description: lncRNA (ENSFALG00000024063.1)
Source: RNAcentral
AUGCUGCGGUGCGGGGAAACCCACCCAGCCCUGUGCCCCCGCCUUACCCACAGCUGUGCAGCUCCCGGGGGAUCCCCGACCCUCCCAGGGACAGUGACACUGCCUGGACAUGGGAAUCCCCCUUGCUCCUGUGCAUGGGGUCACCCUCUCCCCAGAGCGGGCAGAGCCCGGGAUGUCCUCUGGGUGCCCCUGUCCCACUCUGAGCCGGUUCUGUGCCCCCACCCCAGUCACAGCCACCCCCCAGCUCGGCACUCACGGUGGAUGACGAUGCCGAGCAGGAGGGCGAUGAGGAAGAGCAGGAUGAUGCUCAUCAGAGCCACGCAGAGCCAGGUGAACUUGCAGUCGGCGCGGAACCUCCAGCCCACCUGUCCCCAGAGCUGCUGGCCUGGGGGCGAGGACAGCGGGCAGCGCCAAACCCCCACCUCCCUGCACGGCCUGGCACGUCCCCACCGCCCUGCUGAUGUGUCCCCAAGGUGUCCCAGAGCCCACCACCCCUCCCCUGCAGCCCCACGGACACGGGGUGUGUACAAACCCCCAGGCUGGUACCGAGGCCGUCCCGGCGCGGUGCGGGUCCGGUCCCAUCCUUGUCUGGCUCCACGCUCGGUGCCGCCCGGGGCUCCUCGCCCUCAAAAACGGGGUUGCAGAACUCGGUCUGUGGGACAGCGAGCGCGGGUGGCACCCUGGGGACCCGCGGGGGGGGGGGGGGUGGCACCCUGGGGACCCGCGGGGACCACCAGCAGCACCCACACCCCCAGCCCUACCUUGCUGCCGUCCAGAGCCUCGGGGCAAAGCGAGAUUUCGGUGAAGUCUUUCAUGGCAGCAGGCGGUUCCCGGCGCAGCCUGGCUAAAAUCCUGCCCAGUGCCCUGUGCCCCCCAGCCCCACCGCCCGCUCCUCCCGCCGCUCCGGGCCGGGGGUGGUGGCACUGCCAGCUCUACGGGUGGCAGCCCAGCAGCGGAGCCCACCCGAGGGCCAUGCCCGCCGUGCCGGGAGUGCGGGGAGCCCCGCGAGCAGCAGCCCCAGUCCCCUGUGCAGGCCCCUUCCCCCUCGCCCCGUUAAUCCAGCUCAGCUGA